RNAcentral lists this ribosomal RNA (497 nucleotides) under uncultured bacterium. RNAcentral's name for it is "partial 16S ribosomal RNA". It matches the Rfam family "Bacterial small subunit ribosomal RNA", at positions 28 to 507 of the family's 1533-position model. The record is from RNAcentral.
GAUGAACGCUGGCGGCGUGCCUAAUACAUGCAAGUCGAGCGAACAUACGAGGAGCUUGCUUCUCUGACGUUAGCGGCGGACGGGUGAGUAACACGUGGAUAACCUACCUAUAAGACUGGGAUAACUUCGGGAAACCGGAGCUAAUACCGGAUAAUAUAUUGAACCGCAUGGUUCAAUAGUGAAAGACGGUUUUGCGGUCACUUAUAGAUGUAUCCGCGCCGCAUUAGCUAGUUGGUAAGGUAACGGCUUACCAAGGCAACGAUGCGUAGCCGACCUGAGAGGGUGAUCGGCCACACUGGAACUGAGACACGGUCCAGACUCCUACGGGAGGCAGCAGUAGGGAAUCUUCCGCAAUGGGCGAAAGCUUGACGGAGCAACGCCGCGUGAGUGAUGAAGGUCUUCGGAUCGUAAAACUCUGUUAUUAGGGAAGAACAAAUGUGUAAGUAACUAUGCACGUCUUGACGGUACCUAAUCAGAAAGCCACGGCUAACUACGUG